UACGUAGGGUGCGAGCGUUGUCCGGAAUUAUUGGGCGUAAAGAGCUCGUAGGCGGUGUGUCACGUCGGCCGUGAAAACCUGCAGCUUAACUGUGGGCGUGCGGUCGAUACGGGCAUCACUGGAGUUCGGCAGGGGAGACUGGAAUUCCUGGUGUAGCGGUGAAAUGCGCAGAUAUCAGGAGGAACACCAAUGGCGAAGGCAGCUCGCUGGAACGGUACUGACGCUGAGGCGCGAAAGCGUGGGGAGCGAACAGG
This 254-nucleotide ribosomal RNA is filed under the name uncultured bacterium. Its description in RNAcentral is "partial 16S ribosomal RNA". It matches the Rfam family "Bacterial small subunit ribosomal RNA", at positions 524 to 776 of the family's 1533-position model. The record is from RNAcentral.